UACAGAUUCUUGAUUAGAGGAUAGAAUGAUUUGAUUGGAAUAUGAUGGUUAGAUUUUCCAUUGUCUGAAUGCUGCUUGCUUUGUGCUUUGUGGGGCUCUUAGUAAUGUGAGUUAGCUAUUAAGUGAAUAUGCUAAGUCACAUGUGGCACAGGCUGGAUAAUCUCAGAGUGAUAGAUUUGACCCUGUUGCGCAGCUCUCGUUUGAGUCUAACCGUUAUAGGGAUGAGUCGGUUACUUGAAGGAUUAUCUGAUCUCUGUUGCAUGUGGCUAUAUUCAUAAGGUAGCUAGUUGACAUUGUUGGGAAUCUUUCAGCAGCUGAGGACUGGGUGAGUUCGGGAACCUAGGAAAGCCUAGGAUACGUUUCAAUGGAUUAGUAGUGAGGUUUAGUGAGACUUGGGUGUACCAGUUUGAGGAAGUGCCUUGGAGGAUUCAGGAGGAUUGCUGAGGAAAGUAUGGAUAGGUGUGGAAGGUAGUAUUGGGCCCAUACUACUGAAAGCACAUGAUCCAUACUCGAAUCAGUGAGAGUCUUGGAGAAUCUGAGAAGCUUCGGGAAGGAGUUAGUGACCCGGUUUGGGGACAAAGGAUGUUUCGGUUGUU
This 596-nucleotide long non-coding RNA is filed under the name Lactuca sativa (garden lettuce). Its description in RNAcentral is "long non-coding RNA (LSAT_LNC008834)". Lineage: Eukaryota; Viridiplantae; Streptophyta; Magnoliopsida; Asterales; Asteraceae. The record is from RNAcentral.